RNAcentral lists this ribosomal RNA (226 nucleotides) under uncultured bacterium. RNAcentral's name for it is "partial 16S ribosomal RNA". It matches the Rfam family "Bacterial small subunit ribosomal RNA", at positions 15 to 227 of the family's 1533-position model. The record is from RNAcentral.
GAUCAUGGCUCAGGAUGAACGCUAGCUACAGGCUUAACACAUGCAAGUCGAGGGGCAGCAUGGUCUUAGCUUGCUAAGACUGAUGGCGACCGGCGCACGGGUGAGUAACACGUAUCCAACCUGCCGUCUACUCUUGGACAGCCUUCUGAAAAGGAAGAUUUAAUACAAGAUGGCAUCAUGAGUCCGCAAUGUUCACAUGAUUUAAAGGUAUUCCGGGUAGACGUAG